CCUACGGGGGGCAGCAGUGGGGAAUAUUGGACAAUGGGCGAAAGCCUGAUCCAGCCAUGCCGCGUGUGUGAAGAAGGCCUUCGGGUUGUAAAGCACUUUCAGUGGGGAAGAAAGCCUUGGGGCUAAUACCCUCGAGGAAGGACAUCACCCACAGAAGAAGCACCGGCUAACUCCGUGCCAGCAGCCGCAGUAAUACGGAGGGUGCGAGCGUUAAUCGGAAUUACUGGGCGUAAAGCGCGCGUAGGCGGUCUGAUAAGCCGGUUGUGAAAGCCCCGGGCUCAACCUGGGAACGGCAUCCGGAACUGUCAGGCUAGAGUGCAGGAGAGGAAGGUAGAAUUCCCGGUGUAGCGGUGAAAUGCGUAGAGAUCGGGAGGAAUACCAGUGGCGAAGGCGGCCUUCUGGACUGACACUGACGCUGAGGUGCGAAAGCGUGGGUAGCAAACAGGAUUAGAUACCCCAGUAGUC
This 465-nucleotide ribosomal RNA is filed under the name Vreelandella stevensii. Its description in RNAcentral is "partial 16S ribosomal RNA". It matches the Rfam family "Bacterial small subunit ribosomal RNA", at positions 338 to 795 of the family's 1533-position model. Lineage: Bacteria; Pseudomonadati; Pseudomonadota; Gammaproteobacteria; Oceanospirillales; Halomonadaceae. The record is from RNAcentral.